ACUCACACUGUACUUCCAGGGAGACAGCGACUAUGAGGAGACAAACUGAGGACUGGGGAACAAGCUGCAUAAGAAAGAAGUGUUGAGAGCUGCUCUUAACCCUUUUGGAGGCCUAAGUCAAAAGGGAACUAGAGGGCUUGACGCAUCCUUUACAUCCGGCAUUUACUCUGACCACAGUCCCUCCCUGUUCUCACAAGCGGAGCUCAGCCCUGCUUCCCUUCCUGUUGAUUCCCAGUCAGCUACAUGAC
RNAcentral lists this long non-coding RNA (248 nucleotides) under Serinus canaria (Common canary). RNAcentral describes it as "lncRNA (ENSSCAG00000009408.1)". The record is from RNAcentral. Lineage: Eukaryota; Metazoa; Chordata; Aves; Passeriformes; Fringillidae.